Non-coding RNA from Podarcis muralis (Common wall lizard), 716 nucleotides. The record is from RefSeq and is a predicted model, not a curated record. NCBI's taxonomy places the organism in Eukaryota, Metazoa, Chordata, Lepidosauria, Squamata, Lacertidae.
UAUGUAUUUUUAUUGAUUAUUAUUGAUUGGGGGGGCAGCUGCCCCUCCCUUCCCCCUCUUGGCUACGCCCAUGGAGGGGACGGGGACGUUCAGCAAGCGCAUUUCUUCCGUUGCAGUUUGCAAGGGGGAGGCAAGAAACCCCCCUCACCACGCCUCGCACUUUCCCUUUCGCGCUCUUAAACGAUUUAUUCCGAAAUUCGGUCACUUCAGAGCAUCAACUUCGGUAGGGAGUUCCUCCUGCGGCUGAUGUCUUUGGAAACGUUAUCACUGUGUGUGGAAUGAUGCUCUGCAGAGGAUGCGACCCUAAGCAGCGGUUCUUGGGUUCAAUUGGAGAAGUCAAGGGCUAAUAUCUGGGACCUUAUUUCUGAGAUUUGAAAAAAGCAAUCAGCACUUUUCUGGUGGACCUUCUUCCUGUUUCUCCUCCAGCAGAAGUCGGGAGGGUGGAGGAGACUUUUCUGCGGUGGCUCCCCAUUUAUGGAAGGCUAUCCCCAGCGAGGGUCUUCUGGCGUCUUCAUUAUACAUCUUUAGGCACCAGACAAAAGCGUUCCUCUUGAAACUGUGUUUGUGGGAGGUGGGGUUAUUGGUUCGUUUCUGUGUCACUAUGUAUUCUGCAUUCUCAUUUUGUAUUUCUUCUGUUGUGAACCGCCUCAGGCUUUUCCGAUGAAGGGCGGCGUACAAAUGUAAUAAAUAAUAAUAAAAAUAAAUAAUUAUUUGAA